CCCUCGGUCGUCUAGUUGGUUUAUGGCGUCGGACUGUAAUAGUACUAUCAGUUUCAUCCGAAUGUCGCGCGUAAGUGCAACUCCAACAAGAAUUUCUCUCAGACAGCUGCUAACAGUUGUAACAGGUUCGACUCGCGCCUGAGGGA
Molecule: non-coding RNA, 146 nt
Organism: Cadophora sp. M221
Lineage: Eukaryota; Fungi; Ascomycota; Leotiomycetes; Helotiales; Ploettnerulaceae
Source: the annotation of a GenBank genome assembly